RNAcentral lists this ribosomal RNA (1344 nucleotides) under Staphylococcus kloosii. Its description in RNAcentral is "bacterial SSU rRNA". It matches the Rfam family "Bacterial small subunit ribosomal RNA", at positions 81 to 1410 of the family's 1533-position model. Lineage: Bacteria; Bacillati; Bacillota; Bacilli; Caryophanales; Staphylococcaceae. The record is from RNAcentral.
CUCCUUUGACGUUAGCGGCGGACGGGUGAGUAACACGUGGGUAACCUACCUAUAAGACUGGAAUAACUUCGGGAAACCGAAGCUAAUGCCGGAUAACAUGUAGAACCGCAUGGUUCUACAGUGAAAGAUGGCCUUGCUAUCACUUAUAGAUGGACCCGCGCCGUAUUAGCUAGUUGGUAAGGUAACGGCUUACCAAGGCAACGAUACGUAGCCGACCUGAGAGGGUGAUCGGCCACACUGGAACUGAGACACGGUCCAGACUCCUACGGGAGGCAGCAGUAGGGAAUCUUCCGCAAUGGGCGAAAGCCUGACGGAGCAACGCCGCGUGAGUGAUGAAGGUCUUCGGAUCGUAAAGCUCUGUUAUUAGGGAAGAACAAGUGCGUAAGUAACUGUGCGCACCUUGACGGUACCUAAUCAGAAAGCCACGGCUAACUACGUGCCAGCAGCCGCGGUAAUACGUAGGUGGCAAGCGUUAUCCGGAAUUAUUGGGCGUAAAGCGCGCGUAGGCGGUUUCUUAAGUCUGAUGUGAAAGCCCACGGCUCAACCGUGGAGGGUCAUUGGAAACUGGGAGACUUGAGUGCAGAAGAGGAAAGUGGAAUUCCAUGUGUAGCGGUGAAAUGCGCAGAGAUAUGGAGGAACACCAGUGGCGAAGGCGACUUUCUGGUCUGUAACUGACGCUGAUGUGCGAAAGCGUGGGGAUCAAACAGGAUUAGAUACCCUGGUAGUCCACGCCGUAAACGAUGAGUGCUAAGUGUUAAGGGGGUUUCCGCCCCUUAGUGCUGCAGCUAACGCAUUAAGCACUCCGCCUGGGGAGUACGACCGCAAGGUUGAAACUCAAAGGAAUUGACGGGGACCCGCACAAGCGGUGGAGCAUGUGGUUUAAUUCGAAGCAACGCGAAGAACCUUACCAAAUCUUGACAUCCUUUGACCACUCUGGAGACAGAGUUUUCCCCUUCGGGGGACAAAGUGACAGGUGGUGCAUGGUUGUCGUCAGCUCGUGUCGUGAGAUGUUGGGUUAAGUCCCGCAACGAGCGCAACCCUUAAGCUUAGUUGCCAUCAUUAAGUUGGGCACUCUAAGUUGACUGCCGGUGACAAACCGGAGGAAGGUGGGGAUGACGUCAAAUCAUCAUGCCCCUUAUGAUUUGGGCUACACACGUGCUACAAUGGACAAUACAAAGGGCAGCUAAACCGCGAGGUCAUGCAAAUCCCAUAAAGUUGUUCUCAGUUCGGAUUGUAGUCUGCAACUCGACUACAUGAAGCUGGAAUCGCUAGUAAUCGUAGAUCAGCAUGCUACGGUGAAUACGUUCCCGGGUCUUGUACACACCGCCCGUCACACCACGAGAG